GGUGCCUCCACCCAUCCUCUUGAUCUCAUCAAGGUUCGCAUGCAACUUCAAGGUGAAUCCCACCUCCCCAAUCCAGCUUCCCUUCAAGCCCUCCGUCCUGCAAUCGCCUUCAACACGGUUGCUGCAGGUGCCGGCAAUAUUUCACUACCUGUAGAAAUUGCUCCUCCACCUGCUCGUGUUGGACCCAUUUCUAUUGGUGUUCGUAUCAUUCAAUCUGAAGGUGCUGCAGCCCUUUUCACUGGUGUAUCUGCCACUAUACUUCGCCAGACCUUGUACUCAACCACCCGUAUGGGUCUUUACGAUGUUCUCAAACACAAGUGGACAGAUCAAGACACCGGAAGCAUGCCUCUUCCACGCAAGAUUCUUGCCGGCCUUAUCUCCGGCGGUAUCGGAGCCGCCGUUGGGAACCCCGCUGACGUGGCUAUGGUCCGAAUGCAGGCUGAUGGACGUCUCCCAAUUGACCAACGUCGCAACUACAAGAGUGUGUUUGAUGCUCUAACUCAAAUGUCAAAGCAAGAAGGAAUUGCUAGCCUCUGGCGUGGCUCAAGUCUUACAGUGAACCGUGCAAUGAUCGUCACUGCAUCACAGCUCGCAACCUAUGAUCAGAUCAAGGAGAUGAUAUUGGAGAAGGGUGUGAUGAGUGAUGGAAUAGGGACCCAUGUGACGGCGAGCUUCGCAGCUGGGUUUGUGGCAUCGGUGGCUUCAAACCCUAUAGAUGUGAUAAAGACUAGGGUUAUGAACAUGAAGGUGGAGACAGGGGGGGAGCCGCCAUACAAGGGUGCAUUAGACUGUGCAAUGAAGACAGUGAAGGCGGAGGGUCCAAUGGCUUUGUAUAAGGGAUUUAUCCCUACAAUCUCAAGGCAAGGACCUUUCACUGUGGUGCUGUUUGUCACGCUAGAGCAGGUCAGGAAGCUGCUCAAAGAUUUCUAAUUCAAGUGAUGGUGAUCGAUGAGGGAAAUCAAAAUGCCAUAUAUAGAUAGAAAUAUGUGAAUUUUUCAGCUUCACUAUCGGGAGAAUUAUUCUUUAAUUCUUUUUGUUAGAAUUUGGAAAGGCCACUAUUAUUCCAUUACUGUAAAGAAGAAUUGAAUUUUUGAUAUAAAUUAAUUAUUACUUGAUCUCACAUUUCCAUUUGUCUAUCUUCAUAUAUAAUUGCAGAAUUCACCGCAAAUGUAAAAAAAUUCAAUUAAUCAAGGUGUUGUUCUCCUAAUGGCAUGGCUCACAGUCACAAAAUUAAAAAGAGAUUAAACCCAUCAAAAUACAUAAUCACAUCAAUAUAGAAUGCUUGUAUGAAUAUUGCUGGAGUUUUGACCUUCUUGAGUUUUGACAUCCUGCAGCUGCAUUAUAAGAGUAACAAUCACUUUUAUUUUUUUUGACAAUAACCUUACCAUAAAUUACAAGUAAAUAUUUUAUACUUCGUCCUUUUCUUUGAUACUGGUUUUUCUACGGCCACCCUUGUCUUUUCAAGAAGGGUUGACUUCUGUCACCUUGUUAUAUGUUUUUAAAUUUUUUUUAUUAUUAUUGUUUUACAUGUUGUGCUUCUUCAGUUUUUUCAUGCCUUAUUGUUGACAGAUUUAAGAGAGGAUUAACUUUUUGGGAAUGGUGAAACUCUUGGAGUCGUAUUCCGAACAUGAAUAAUGCAAUCAGUAACCCUCAAGGCCUUGGGUGCCAUAGAACUCUGGCUACUGCCCUUAGUUGGUUUGAAGCUUCGAUGCUUCUGGCCUUCAAUCAGUCUGUGCUUUAGUUUUAUUGGUUCUGGCUGUUGCCCUCAGUUGAUUUGAAGCUUCGACUUUGGUCUGGCCUUCAAUCAAUCUUUGCUUCAGUUUUAUUAGUUUUCUUGAUAAGACGCUCCAUGGCUCUUUCUACAAGUUGCAUUUGUUGUCGGGUCUCUCAACUUUUUAAGUUUUAAGGAUUUGAUGACCUUUUAGGUUUUAAGAAACCUUAUUUUAUUUUCUAUUAAAAACUACGGUUUUAAAUGAGUUGGAUUAAAAUUUUAAUUUUAAUUUUUUUCUUUAUAUUAUUAUAAAUGAUUAAAACGUAAAUACGAAUAUAAUUCAAUCAUUUGUAGUUAGAGAUUAGAAAAAAAUCUCCUCAGAUUCAAUAUGAAAACAUUUAGAGUACAUGUAUUACGCUCAAUUCAUAGAGAUUUAGAAAGCUGCUCUUAGAAUUUCAAGCUUUUACUUGAGCAGUAUAAAUUGAUAGUUUUUUAGGGACCAUUUUAAAAUUUCUAUCCAUAAAUUUUCUUUAAAAACAAAGUGACGUGCAAAGCGCACUAAUAUAUUUUAAAAUUUAAGCAAUGAUAUCUUUACGGUCAUAGUAAAAUUAUUAUUUUAAUAUUAUUAAGAUAACAGUUUGAUAAUAAUUUAAAAAUAUUUAAAAAAUUUAUUUUUUUAUUAUAUUUAAUAAUAAAUUUUAAUAAAAAAUUAUUUUAUAUUUAAUAAAAUCAUAAUUUUUACUAUAUUUUAUAUUUACAGUAAAAAAAUAUGUUUAAAGCUGAUUUAUAUUUAAUAGUGAUAUAUUUCAAAUUGUUGUUAUUAAUUUAUAAUUAUAUUUAAAAUAUACAAUAUUACUAUUUUAAAUUUAUUUUUAUAGUAGUGGUUUUUUUGCAUACUCCACCUUCCUCUACUAUUUAUAAAAAUUUAUAAAAAAUAAUAUAUAUUUAAAAAAAUAGAGUAAAAAAUUAAUGAAUCACUGUACAUGAUACAUUUAUAGAAAAUAUUUCUCUAAAACUGUUUCAUGUAGACUGAAUAUAAUAAUUACAGUGGAAUUUUUCCGAUAUUAUAAAGUUUUGAUUUCAAAAUCUGUCACAUCAAGUCAACGGUUUAAUUAUUAGUAACGUUGAUAAAAAAAAAAGUAUUAAUAACUGAAUUUUUUUAGAAGUUAUUAAUAACUGAAAAAUACUUAAUCUCAUAAUAUAACAUAUGAUUAAUCACAACUGCCCAUACGAUCAUCAAGGUAAAGGAGGGCAGACGAAAAAUAAAAAAUUAAAAAAGAAGAAUGGGUCAGUCAGUGGAACCCACUAACAUGUGAGUGAGCCAUAUGGUUGUUACACAGUUGGCCAGUUCAACAGUUCAAACUAGGAAGACCAAGAAUGGUCACAGACAACAGCACCAAUAGCGCAGAUAUAUAGAGUCAAAUGCAAUACCGUGUAUAAUUGAUCAGUCGAAUAGCACAAAGAAUUUUCUUCGAAUUUUCUCCAUAUAGAUAACGUGUGGACCAUCCUACACUCCCUCUCGGCCUCUCUAUAUAAACGCCUAAUUCUCUGCUCACUCUUCAUCUUCAUCACCAUUUCUAUUGUCUGCCUCUUCACUUCACUCAGCUUCUCUCUCGCUGAUCAGUUUUGAUUUCUUCAGUUUUCGAUCCAUAAUUAAUAAUGGGUUUGAAGGGUUUUGUUGAAGGUGGUAUUGCCUCCAUCGUCGCUGGUGCCUCCACCCAUCCUCUUGAUCUCAUCAAGGUUCGCAUGCAACUUCAAGGUGAAUCCCACCUCCCCAAUCCAGCCUCCCUUCAAGCCCUCCGUCCUGCCAUCGCCUUCAACACGGUUGCUGCUGGUGCCGGCAAUAUUUCACUACCUGUAGAAAUUGCUCCUCCACCUGCUCGUGUUGGACCCAUUUCUAUCGGUGUUCGUAUCAUUCAAUCUGAAGGUGCUGCAGCCCUUUUCUCUGGUGUAUCUGCCACUAUACUUCGCCAGACCUUGUACUCAACCACCCGUAUGGGUCUUUACGAUGUUCUUAAACACAAGUGGACAGAUCAAGACACCGGAACCAUGCCUCUUCCACGCAAGAUUCUUGCCGGCCUUAUCUCCGGCGGUAUCGGAGCCGACGUUGGGAACCCCGCUGACGUGGCUAUGGUCCGAAUGCAGGCUGAUGGACGUCUCCCAAUUGACCAACGUCGCAACUACAAGAGUGU
RNAcentral lists this long non-coding RNA (3903 nucleotides) under Manihot esculenta (cassava). RNAcentral describes it as "long non-coding RNA (MESC_LNC006159)". The record is from RNAcentral. Lineage: Eukaryota; Viridiplantae; Streptophyta; Magnoliopsida; Malpighiales; Euphorbiaceae.